RNAcentral lists this RNase P RNA (397 nucleotides) under Actinomycetota bacterium. RNAcentral's name for it is "RNase P RNA component class A". It matches the Rfam family "Bacterial RNase P class A". From Rfam's summary of the family: Ribonuclease P (RNase P) is a ubiquitous endoribonuclease, found in archaea, bacteria and eukarya as well as chloroplasts and mitochondria. Its best characterised activity is the generation of mature 5'-ends of tRNAs by cleaving the 5'-leader elements of precursor-tRNAs. Lineage: Bacteria; Bacillati; Actinomycetota. The record is from RNAcentral.
CGAGCCGGCCGGGCGGCCGCGUGCGGGAGAGAUCUCGCCCGAGGAACGUCCGGGCUCCACAGGGCAGGGUGGUUGCUAACGGCAACCCGGGGCGACCCGCGGGACAGUGCCACAGAGAACAAACCGCCGUCUGGCUUCGGCUCAGGCGGUAAGGGUGAAACGGUGGUGUAAGAGACCACCAGCAUUCCGGGUGACCGGGAUGGCUCGGUAAACCCCACCCGGAGCAAGGUCAAGAGGGGCCUUCGGGUCCCUGCGCAGGCGUUCGAGGGCUGCCCGCCCGAGCCUGCGGGUAGACCGCAGGAGCCUGCCGGCGACGGCAGGCCUAGAUGGAUGGUCGCCCAUCGCAGCGCCGCAAGGCGUGCGUUGACAGAACCCGGCGUACAGGCCGACUCGUCCG